GACGAACGCUGGCGGCGCGCCUAACACAUGCAAGUCGAACGAGAUUUGAAGAGCUUGCUCUUCAAAUCGAGUGGCGAACGGGUGAGUAACGCGUGAGGAACCUGCCUCAAAGAGGGGGACAACAGUUGGAAACGACUGCUAAUACCGCAUAAGCCCACAGCUCGGCAUCGAGCAGAGGGAAAAGGAACAAUCCGCUUUGAGAUGGCCUCGCGUCCGAUUAGCUGGUUGGUGAGGUAACGGCCCACCAAGGCGACGAUCGGUAGCCGGACUGAGAGGUUGAACGGCCACAUUGGGACUGAGACACGGCCCAGACUCCUACGGGAGGCAGCAGUGGGGAAUAUUGCACAAUGGGGGGAACCCUGAUGCAGCGACGCCGCGUGGAGGAAGAAGGUCUUCGGGUCGUAAAGCUCUGUUGUCGGGGACGAAUGUACUCUUUAUCAACAACGAGGAGUAAUGACGGUACCUGAGGAGGAAGCCACGGCUAAACUACGUGCCAGCAGCCGACGG
RNAcentral lists this ribosomal RNA (507 nucleotides) under uncultured bacterium. Its description in RNAcentral is "bacterial SSU rRNA". It matches the Rfam family "Bacterial small subunit ribosomal RNA", at positions 28 to 520 of the family's 1533-position model. The record is from RNAcentral.